This 752-nucleotide long non-coding RNA is filed under the name Nicotiana benthamiana. RNAcentral's name for it is "long non-coding RNA (NBEN_LNC009544)". The record is from RNAcentral. Lineage: Eukaryota; Viridiplantae; Streptophyta; Magnoliopsida; Solanales; Solanaceae.
UUUAUUCAAAACUCAAAUAUUAUUCCAACCAAAAUAUACUUUUGCAAGAAAGAACAAAGAGAGAAUAGAAAAAUGAAACGAGCGGAUUUCUCGAAGGGAACCUCGAACCCGAACUGUCACGCAAAUCAGUAGAGUGAAUGAGCGAUCUUUACAUUGGACAAAUCCAAACUUUGAACUACUCAAAUCUCUUGAAUCCAAAUCUAAAUUCUAGCCAAACACGUGAGGGAAUUUGAGGCCAACUGCCGUUUUUGUCUUCUUCUUUGAUAUGUUCCUGAAACGAAAAUAAGAUGCAGAGGCUACCCCACAUCCCCAAUACCUCCCAACAUUCCAAUUGGAAUAGCCAUUGAAGAUUUGAGUGAAUAAAAAUAGAGAGUUAUCCUCAAACAAAAUAUUAACCAGUAUUAAAAUAUAUGCCCACAAUAGGAAAUAGCAAUAUUUAAAUAGCUAAAAGAAAUAUCUAAGGUUAAUCAAUAUUGCAACAAUUCAAAAGAAAGUUCAAGUACAGCGAACCAAAAUGGGAAUGGGACUAUUUAAUAUCGAAUCAAUGUUGUUAAAAAGGUCACCAAACUUGUGAAAAGGAAGAUUAUGGUAGGGUGGAGUUACGGUUUUUAUGCAAAUCAGAUUCAAGGGAGGUGAAUUGGCUACUCUCCCGAAUUUCUUGAAGAAAGAGAUCUACCGUUUUAGUUUUUUAGGAACUGGGAACUUUUGUUGUUUUUGAAGGAGACAGGCUGCCAUUUUUUGUGUAGUUUAGG